UGACUUUUAGUAAGUACAGCACCAUAUGAUAUAAGACAUUUAUGUGUGUGUUAUUAAUGACCAAAGGUGUCUGACUUUAUAGUAAGUACAGCACCAUAUGAUAUAAGACAUUUAUGUGUAUGUUAUUAAUGACCAAAGGUGUCUGACUUUAUAGUAAGUACAGCACCAUAUGAUAUAAGACAUUUAUGUGUGUGUUAUUAAUGACCAAAGGUGUCUGACUUUAUAGUAAGUACAGCACCAUAUGAUAUAAGACAUUUAUGUGUAUGUUAUUAAUGACCAAAGGUGUCUGACUUUAUAGUAAGUACAGCACCAUAUGAUAUAAGACAUUUAUGUGUAUGUUAUUAAUGACCAAAGGUGUCUGACUUUAUAGUAAGUACAGCACCAUAUGAUAUAAGACAUUUAUGUGUAUGUUAUUAAUGACCAAAGGUGUCUGACUUUAUAGUAAGUACAGCACCAUAUGAUAUAAGACAUUUAUGUAUGUUAUUAAUGACCAAAGGUGUCUGACUUUAUAGUAAUACAGCACCAUAUGAUAUAAGACAUUUAUGUGUAUGUUAUUAAUGACCAAAGGUGUCUGACUUUAUAGUAAGUACAGCACCAUAUGAUAUAAGACAUUUAUGUGUAUGUUAUUAAUGACCAAAGGUGUCUGACUUUAUAGUAAGUACAGCACCAUAUGAUAUAAGACAUUUAUGUGUAUGUUAUUAAUGACCAAAGGUGUCUGACUUUAUAGUAAGUACAGCACCAUAUGAUAUAAGACAUUUAUGUGUAUGUUAUUAAUGACCAAAGGUGUCUGACUUUAUAGUAAGUACAGCACCAUAUGAUACAAGACAUUUAUGUGUAUGUUAUUAAUGACCAAAGGUGUCUGACUUUAUAGUAAGUACAGCACCAUAUGAUAUAAGACAUUUAUGUGUAUGUUAUUAAUGACCAAAGGUGUCUGACUUUAUAGUAAGUACAGCACCAUAUGAUAUAAGACAUUUAUGUGUAUGUUAUUAAUGACCAAAGGUGUCUGACUUUAUAGUAAGUACAGCACCAUAUGAUAUAAGACAUUUAUGUGUAUGUUAUUAAUGACCAAAGGUGUCUGACUUUAUAGUAAGUACAGCACCAUAUGAUAUAAGACAUUUAUGUGUAUGUUAUUAAUGACCAAAGGUGUCUGACUUUAUAGUAAGUACAGCACCAUAUGAUAUAAGACAUUUAUGUGUAUGUUAUUAAUGACCAAAGGUGUCUGACUUUAUAGUAAGUACAGCACCAUAUGAUACAAGACAUUUAUGUGUAUGUUAUUAAUGACCAAAGGUGUCUGACUUUAUAGUAAGUACAGCACCAUAUGAUAUAAGACAUUUAUGUGUAUGUUAUUAAUGACCAAAGGUGUCUGACUUUAUAGUAAGUACAGCACCAUAUGAUAUAAGACAUUUAUGUGUAUGUUAUUAAUGACCAAAGGUGUCUGACUUUAUAGUAAGUACAGCACCAUAUGAUAUAAGACAUUUAUGUAUGUGUUCUUAAUGACCAAAGGUGUCUGACCUUUCAGUAAGCACAGCGUCAUAUGAUAUAAGACAUUUAUGUAUGUGUUAUUAAUGACCAAAGGUAUCUGACUUUAUAGUAAGUACAGCAUCAUGUGAUAUAAGGCAUUUAUGUACAGUACCAGUCAAAAGUGUGGACACAGCUACUAUAACACAUAUGGAAUCAUGUAGUAACCAAAAAAGUGUUCUCUCUUUCUCUGUCUUUCAUACACACACAAUUACUCCAUUGUCCAACUAUUAGUGCAUAACAAUACAGCAAUAGUCAUAGCUAUCUUCCAUUCAUAAGGAAGUUUUGCACAGUACACAUUUACAACCUUUUAACUCGAUUUGCUCAGCAGGCUAACACGGUCAAGAGACACAUACUAUCCGGGUUGAUAUUCAGCAUAGUAGUGGUGCCAGUGGUAACUACUCACCCUCAACAUGGAUGACCCCCACAAGGUCUACCGCUGGUUUUUCCCUUUCUUCCUGUUCUCCUAUCUUCCCCUGCUCUGGCGGAUGGACACCACCUCCAGGGCGAGAGAUGAACCACUGAACCUACCAGAACAAUGAUACACUCACCUACAACCUGCCAGCUGUGUGUGUGUGUGUGUACUGUACAUCACAGAGCUGUGCUUAACUUGCUUGAAGGUAACUUUGCGAAAUUGACGUUAUAUCCUUUAAAUGAUACACAAUUACAAUAGGCACAAGUUAUUGUCCCCCAUGUAAACCAACCAGUGACGCCAAGAGCUUUUAUUUUUACCUAGAAAAUACAUUCCACUGUAUGUAUAGGCCGUCAUUGUAAAUAAUAAUUUGUUCUUAACUGACUUGCCUAGUUAAAUACAGGUUAAAUAAAAAUCUAAAAUACAAAUUAAUAAAGUAAAAUAAACUUGCAGUAAUUAAAAUUUACCAGUAGAGGGAGGCAGACUCUCUUGCAAGAUUAGAUCCCUGACUGUCAUUGUCCACUUCCUCCUUUCAUAUUGGUCUAUAAUGGUAUUAUUCCAGAACCUGUUCAGCACUUUGAACAUGUCUUGUCAGGGUUUCCUUACAAUGGAAUGGGCGGCAGGUAGCCUAGCAGUUAAGCAAGUUGGGCCAUUAACCAAAAGGUUUCUGGUUUGAAUCCCCAAACUGACUAGGUGAUUUUAUUUUUGUCAAUGUGCCCUUGAGCUAGGCACUUAAUCCUAAUUGCUUCUAUAAGUCUCGCUGGAUAAGCGUGUGAUGUAAAUAAGUGUAUGCAUCCCUAUUCUUCUCCUCUGUCGUCCUAUUCAAACUGAUCCCGGUAAUCCUUCUGUACGAUACGCUCGUUUGCAUAAUCUGAAUCAGGCAAGGGCUACAGCUGCUUCUCAUUGGCCGUUUAACAGCGAGGAGCACUCGCUAAGAAGCAUAACCACUACUCUGACAUCACAACACUGAGCUGGUACAGUGCCUUCAGAAUGAAUUCGCACCCCUUUUCCACAUUUUGUCGUGUUACAGCCUGAAUU
This is a long non-coding RNA of Oncorhynchus tshawytscha (Chinook salmon), 2968 nucleotides long. RefSeq lists it as uncharacterized. The record is from RefSeq and is a predicted model, not a curated record. NCBI's taxonomy places the organism in Eukaryota, Metazoa, Chordata, Actinopteri, Salmoniformes, Salmonidae. The transcript is spliced from 3 exons.